Molecule: long non-coding RNA, 5067 nt
Filed under: Canis lupus familiaris (dog)
Lineage: Eukaryota; Metazoa; Chordata; Mammalia; Carnivora; Canidae
Description: lncRNA (ENSCAFG00845007874.1)
Source: RNAcentral
CCCGCCCCCGCCCCCGCCCCCGGCCCACCUGCCCGCCCGCCGCACCCGCGCCCCCUGGCGCCCCGGGGCGCGCACGGCCGGCGGCGGGGCGCGGAGGGGGCGCUGCUCGCGGCGGGCGGGCGGCCGGGGCUGUAGUACAGGCUGUCCCCGGCAGCCGGCGGAGUCAGCGCGCCCACGUGACGGCCCCGGCUCUCCGGUGAGCUCCCCAAACAGACGCACACCCAGCCACACGCGCGCACACACACGCACGCACCCCCGCGCGCACACGCCCGCCCGCUCUGCCUCUGCGCCCUCCAUCCCGGCUCGCUCCUUCCCUCGCCCUCUCGCCUCCCCUGCGGUCUCUCGCUCUGCGCGCACACCCCGCACACACGCACACGCACACACACGCGCGCACACACGCAGCCGGCACAGGCGGCGGCGGCGGCGGCGGCGGCGGCGGCUGCCCAAGUCAGGACGAACCUCUGUAGGCACCGUCUCGAGAAGGCGGCGGCGGCGGCGGCAGCCCGAGCAUCCCGAGCAUCCCGAGCAUCCCGAGCAUCCCGAGCAUCCCGAGCAUCCCUCGUCUCCCCGAGAGCGAGCACCGCCGAGAGUUUGCGUUCCCUUCGCCGUUCCCUUCCCCCCCCCCACCUCCUUUUCUUUAUUUCGGAGAGCGUUUCCUCCUCGCUUAUUGGUUUUAAUUUGAUUUUGAAAAUUUUGGGUUGCUUUUGUGUGUGUGCCUUUUUUUUUUUCUUUCUUUUCCCCCCUUUCCUCAUUUUAUUUGCAUCCAGAGCAUGGCGUGCUGCGGGCUGUCGGAAGACACCUUCUUCUCUUCCUUCUUUUACAACUACGGCUCCUCCUGGGAAACCCCCUCCAGCCAGGGGUGAGGCGUGUACAUGUGCGUGAGGACCCGGGCUCUCGGCGAGGGUGCCCUGCAGGUCACGGUUUCAGCGGUUGAGCCUGGGCCGGGGACUGAGAAACCUGCUCCUGACUGUUCCUUCCUUGAAAAAGGCUGAAACAAAGACAACACUAAAUCGCAUCUUGGACUCAGGCAGGGCUGCGAUGGGAAGGCCUGGGCCAAAUUUGAAAGAGUGAGACUUAUUCAUGAUUUUUACCUGAAUUGCUGCCAAAAAAGCUUACAAAUCCUCCAUUCCCUAAAAAUAGUAACGCUCUUCAAAUAUAAUUUGUUUACUCUACCUCAAUUAAAAAUAAAACCAUCUUCCCUAGUGUUAUAAAGUGCUUAUGAAGGUAAGGGUUGACUGUACUAAAAAGAAAAAAAAAAUCAAGCUUUUUAUUUCUAGAUCAAUAUGAUGUGCUCUCAACAUCUAAUACCAUGUAAAAGGAGCCUUUUUACAACAUCAAUAGCAGGCAGGCAUGUCUCCCUAAGAAGCUCUUUUCCUGGAAUCACAAGGCAUUUUGAUUUGCUUUCAUUUUCACAAGAAACAUGAUUAUGACACCUCUGGUUAUAAACAAGUGAGUGAAAAAAAUAAUGAGGAUUGGGGGUUCUUUAUAUAGAAAUCUAGAAAUUUGGAAACAACCCCGGGCAUUUAUUCAUUACUAAACCCCCAAAACAAAAACCAAAAACCCAACCACAGAUCAUCGUGGACUGGGAGGUUUUUUUUGUUUGUUUUUUUUUUUUUUUUUUUUUUUUUUUUUUUUUUUAGUUUCUCUGUGACAUUUUAUCACUGAGGCUGGGGGAGGGGGAAUCAGGGUGAUGUUUCUGGAGAGAGCCCAAUGUGUAUCAGAGCCGAAACUGCAUCUGUUACCAUUUAAAAACUGGGAAAUUCCAUCUUAUAUCCGAAUAGACCAUGUUGCAGAUAUUUUGCACCCACUUGCCAAUGUGCAAAACAUACCAUAGUGCGAGUGUGUAUGUGUGUAUGUGUGUGUGUGGGAAGCAUCUGCUUAGGUGGAAUUUAUUUCUUCAAUUAGAAUGAAAACCCCAAUUAAAGUGUGUAUGUGAAAUGUCUCUGACUUGGCUCAGUGCAGCAGACAGCAGACCAUUCUUUAAUUUACAGUUUCACGCCUAGGGAUGGCAGUAGUGCAAGCUUCCAAAACCCAGCAUUAUCUUUUUUUUUUUUUUUUUCUGUUGUGCUUUUCAACCUGCGAGGCUCUCCUGUAGUUGUUUGAGGUUUCUGUCUCCAUCAUGACGCUGACUGUGGAGUGGUCAUUACCGCUUGCUGUUUGGACCUGGGUCACUUUAUUGACUUGUCACCGUGGAGGCCCAAAUCGAAGCAGGCCAGGUCUGUAUGAUAUUGAAUCAGUCAACGGAAAGUGAAAAAUGGAGCCAAUUAGCUGACUGCUUGGAUGUCCAUGAGGCCAGACAUCGGACUUUACCCACCUGAUUGACCAGUCCUGUGGUUACUGGAUAGUUUAACCCGAGUUUAUGAAAAAGUUAUUCGGGCCAGACAUGACUGGGCUCUUCUACUUUUCUUCCCCACCCGUGCCCCUAGCCCCAGCCACUCCCUCAGAUUUUUCCAGACUAGAAAUAUAAAAUGGCAUCCUUCUGUGGAUGCACACCAUCCUUCUAGAAUGACUGCUUUGAAUGCAUCCCUGGACUUUUGUUAGCCAGUACCUGUAAUUCUUCGCACCUGCUCUAUCUUUUCAAGCAGGAUAGAUGUAUCAAUGUAGGAUCAUUAAUGGAUGCGGGUAAGUUGUUGAAAGCUUGUGCUGACUGCUUUUUUUUUUUUUUUUUUUGGCUUGGCACAAUGUCCAUAAAUAUCGACAGCCAAAGCAAGAAAGCAGCCCACUGAGGAACACUUCUGCUCCAUCCAGUCCAAUCACUCUAAAGAACUCAGAAUUUUUUUUUUUUUGCUCCUCUUUUCUGGGUAUUUCAUAAUUCUUAAAGGAGUAACAAUGUUUGGAUCCACGGAGAUGAGCCAAGACUUGGGAAUGACCUGCAUUUGCAGGGUUGUUAGAAACGCACUGGGUUAAAGUUCAAAAAAUAAGAGCUGGGUUUCUAUACAUUUUAAACAUUUUUAUUUUCUGGAAGAUGUCCGGAUGAACCGCAAAAUCCUUUUUAAGUGCACUUCUGUAUAUUUACCUUAGACACUUUUUUGAAAUCUGCUUAUAAAUCUAACUCAUCUGACUCCAGUUUUUCCAACGUUGGGUUUCUCCUAGGCACAUAGAAAAGCAAAAGAGACUUUUAAUAUCCUGAGUUUCUCGUGGGCCUCCCAGCAAGGCUAGCUUUCUUAAGGCACCACCUUGGAAAUACUGUUUGCUUUUCUUUGUUAAGUUCUAUUAGCCUCAAACUUAGGAACCGAGCAGCAGUGAUGAGAGGUGCUAUUAACUAAUGCUGUUCCCAGCACUUGACAUGUAUUUGACUCAUUUAAUCUCCUAGACAACUUAUGAAUUAGGUACUUUUAUUAUUAUUCCCAUUUUAUAGAUGGAGAAAAUAAGGCACAGGGAAUUCGAUACUUUACCUAAGACAUCGCUGGUGCUAGGUAGGGGCAAAACUGGGACGUCCCCCAGGCAGCCAGGUUUCAGAGUCCAGCGUGCCUGCUAAUUCCUACUCUCCACACUACUUCCUCUCCAGUAGACAUCACGUGGCCACACGUACCUUUCUAGCAAGUUUGUUAUGGUGUCAUUCAUUUGCCCGCUCCAUGAAAUAGUGAAGAUCUCCUUCGUUUGCCCAAGUUUGCUCAUUUUUUCCCCCCCUGGUUAUUUACAUAACCAGCCCAAAUCCUCUUUGGUAAAUGAGGUGAAGUCUUCUGUUUCGACAAGAUCAACCAUAACUAUCUGAUGUUUUUAUCUUUUUCUUGGUGAUGGACUAAAUGAGUUUACCAUUCUUUUUGGUUUGAACAAAUGGUUGAUCCAGUUUUAGAGAGAAACUAUUUAUUUAUUUAUUUAUUUAUUUAUUUAUUUAUUUAUUUAUUUAAAAAUAUUUUAUUUAUUUAUUCCUGAGAGUCACACAGAGAGAGGCAGAGACACGGGCAGAGGGAGAAGCAGGCUCCCUGCAGGGAACCUGAUGUGGACUGGAUUCCAGGACCCCGGGAUCACGCCCUGAGCUGAAGUCAGAUGCUCAAUCGCUGAACCGCCACCAGGCAUCCCUAGACUGAGACUUUAGAUUGCCAGCUCCCAACCUCAAGUAAUUGUGACCUAGAGGAGGGCGCAUUACACAUGUGGGGAUCAGUAAAAUAACACUGUACAGAAGAAAUGUAAUUUUAAAAUUCAUGAAUAGAAUAAUUUUAUCAGUAAUCACUCAGAUGCAUCAAAACCCUAUCCCAUACGUAUGCAUAUAUGUGUGUGUAUAAAAUAUGUAUGUUUUCGGCAUAAACUUACUCUCACUUUGUAAGCAAACCCGUAUCAUGAUGAGUUUGCCCUGUCUAUUGUUACGUUUGCAAUUUAGGCCCAAACCUAACCUUUUCAGCAUGGCCGUGUUAUAACAGGUGUCUUUUGUGUUGAAUCAUGCAUCUAGCAUUUAUGUCCAUCAUGAACUAAUGCCUCUUAGUGGUUCAUCCCUUAUAUCGUGAUCUUCCAAAAUACAGUUGUGGAAAGGGGGAGGGAAAACAUUAAAUGUCAGUAGUUACAGCAAGACGGUCUCUAGGAAGGAGGCAGUUUCUUGCUGCUUUCACAUUCCUGUGGCCCUAGCGGAAAUGUAAAAGUGCAGGGUUUGCAUUGGAAUGAGAAUGGGGUCACCUACCCUUUGUAGUCAUCAUCAAGGAAGCAGAACUUCCUUCCAGAGAGACCAUAGGAAAUCAAUGAUCAUACUUUGCCAGUGAAGAGGUAAAUGUGGACAGCAGACGCCAUUAAAUAAAAGGGCAGCAGAAAAGUGAUUUACUCUAGAAGGCAGUGUGACUUUUUGGUCCGUUCCAAGAAUUCACAUUUGUGAUAUAAUAAUUAUAUUUAAAUAUUUUCUUUGGGAUUAUGUUUUAUUUAAAAAAAAAAAGGAAGGAGACAUGCCAUUAGGUGAUGCUACUCUCUUGUCAUUUGAACAUAGCUAUUUAAGGAAAGCAGAGUGUCUGGAAUAUGGUAACAGAUACCCUCUUCCCUUAUUUUUGUCUUCAUAAGAAUUGACCUGAUUUGUUAUGGCUCCUGGAUUUCUGUUUGUUUUUAAAUUUCGCAUAGUCCUGGAUGCAGAGGGGAAGCUUGCGG